RNAcentral lists this non-coding RNA (24 nucleotides) under Rattus norvegicus (Norway rat). Lineage: Eukaryota; Metazoa; Chordata; Mammalia; Rodentia; Muridae. The record is from RNAcentral.
GAGACAAUUUAUGUAGCACAGGCU